RNAcentral lists this long non-coding RNA (381 nucleotides) under Trifolium pratense (red clover). Its description in RNAcentral is "long non-coding RNA (TPRA_LNC013923)". Lineage: Eukaryota; Viridiplantae; Streptophyta; Magnoliopsida; Fabales; Fabaceae. The record is from RNAcentral.
UGCCUAUGGUCUGUAAUAUGUGCACUCUGAUAUUCCGUUUGUCUGCUACUCUGUGUUUUGAUAUGCAUCUUAUUUGUCAAAAUUAUGGCUAAAAAGGGGGAGUAGUGUGUGUGUGUGACAAAUGUGUGGACAGAUGUUCUUACAUCUGGUGACUGUUUUUGUGCUAAUGAUCUAUGUUCGUAUUGAGGGGGAGUGUGAGUAAUAAUGCAUGUGUUGAGGGGGAGUAGUGAAUAUUCUUUCUCUGACUAAUGAUAAGUAUGAAUGAAUUCAGGGAGUGUGUGAGUGAUAUUAUCUCUUGAUCGCCUGAAAGUGUUUGAUGACAAGUGUUGUGCCAAGUGUGAUGGCACCUGACUAACGAGUCCACUAUCCACUAUGACUGAG